This 364-nucleotide ribosomal RNA is filed under the name uncultured soil bacterium. RNAcentral's name for it is "bacterial SSU rRNA". It matches the Rfam family "Bacterial small subunit ribosomal RNA", at positions 26 to 382 of the family's 1533-position model. The record is from RNAcentral.
AGAGUGAACGCUGGCGGCAGGCCUAACACAUGCAAGUCGAACGGCAGCACAGUAAGAGCUUGCUCUUAUGGGUGGCGAGUGGCGGACGGGUGAGGAAUACAUCGGAAUCUGCCUAUUUGUGGGGGAUAACGUAGGGAAACUUACGCUAAUACCGCAUACGACCUACGGGUGAAAGCGGAGGACCUUCGGGCUUCGCGCAGAUAGAUGAGCCGAUGUCGGAUUAGCUAGUUGGUGGGUAAACGGCCCACCAAGGCGACGAUCCGUAGCUGGUCUGAGAGGAUGAUCAGCCACACUGGAACUGAGACACGGUACCAGACCUCCGUACGGGAGCAGCACGGUGGGGAAAUUAGUUAGGGAACGUAGU